This 1293-nucleotide ribosomal RNA is filed under the name uncultured Bacteroidota bacterium. RNAcentral describes it as "bacterial SSU rRNA". It matches the Rfam family "Bacterial small subunit ribosomal RNA", at positions 80 to 1380 of the family's 1533-position model. The record is from RNAcentral. Lineage: Bacteria; Pseudomonadati; Bacteroidota.
CUUGCUAUCCAGAGAGCGGCGUACGGGUGCGUAACACGUGUGCAACCUGCCUUUAUCUGGGGGAUAGCCUUUCGAAAGGAAGAUUAAUACCCCAUAAUAUGGUGUCCGGCAUCGGUCGCCAUUGAAAGCCUCGGCGGAUAGAGAUGGGCACGCGCAAGAUUAGAUAGUUGGCGGGGUAACGGCCCACCAAGUCGAUGAUCUUUAGGGGUCCUGAGAGGGAGAUCCCCCACACUGGUACUGAGACACGGACCAGACUCCUACGGGAGGCAGCAGUGAGGAAUAUUGGACAAUGGGUGGAAGCCUGAUCCAGCCAUCCCGCGUGAAGGAUGACGGUCCUAUGGAUUGUAAACUUCUUUUGUACAGGGAUAAACCUGCCCUCGUGAGGGCAGCUGAAGGUACUGUACGAAUAAGCACCGGCUAACUCCGUGCCAGCAGCCGCGGUAAUACGGAGGGUGCGAGUGUUAUCCGGAUUUAUUGGGUUUAAAGGGUCCGUAGGCGGGCCUGUAAGUCAGUGGUGAAAUCUCAUAGCUUAACUAUGAAACUGCCAUUGAUACUGCAGGCCUUGAGUAAAUUUGAAGUGGCUGGAAUAAGUAGUGUAGCGGUGAAAUGCAUAGAUAUUACUUAGAACACCGAUUGCGAAGGCAGGUCACUAAGAUUUAACUGACGCUGAUGGACGAAAGCGUGGGGAGCGAACAGGAUUAGAUACCCUGGUAGUCCACGCCGUAAACGAUGCUAACUCGUUUUUGGAUCUUCGGGUUCAGAGACCAAGCGAAAGUGAUAAGUUAGCCACCUGGGGAGUACGUCCGCAAGGAUGAAACUCAAAGGAAUUGACGGGGGCCCGCACAAGCGGUGGAUUAUGUGGUUUAAUUCGAUGAUACGCGAGGAACCUUACCAAGACUUAAAUGGGAAUUGACAGAUUUAGAAAUAGAUCCUCCUUCGGGCAAUUUUCAAGGUGCUGCAUGGUUGUCGUCAGCUCGUGCCGUGAGGUGUUAGGUUAAGUCCUGCAACGAGCGCAACCCCUGCCAACAGUUGCCAUCAUUCAGUUGGGGACUCUGUUGGGACUGCCUACGCAAGUAGAGAGGAAGGUGGGGAUGACGUCAAAUCAUCACGGCCCUUACGUCUUGGGCCACACACGUAAUACAAUGGCCGGUACAGAGGGCAGCUACCUGGUGACAGGAUGCGAAUCUCGAAAGCCGGUCUCAGUUCGGAUUGGAGUCUGCAACUCGACUCUAUGAAGCUGGAAUCGCUAGUAAUCGCGCAUCAGCCAUGGCGCGGUGAAUACGUUCCCGGGCC